RNAcentral lists this ribosomal RNA (377 nucleotides) under uncultured eukaryote. Its description in RNAcentral is "partial 18S ribosomal RNA". It matches the Rfam family "Eukaryotic small subunit ribosomal RNA", at positions 592 to 976 of the family's 1831-position model. The record is from RNAcentral.
CAAUAGCGUAUAUUUAAGUUGCUGCAGUUAAAAAGCUCGUAGUUGGAUUUCGGGUGGGAAUGGCCGGUCCGCUGUUUCGGUGUGCACUUGCUACGCCCACCUUGCUGCCGGGGACGUGCUCUUGAGUUCACGCUCGGGACACGGAGUCGGCGAGGUUACUUUGAGUAAAUUAGAGUGUUCAAAGCAGGCCUACGCUCUGAAUACAUUAGCAUGGAAUAACACGAUAGGACUCUGGCCUAUCUUGUUGGUCUGUAGGACCGGAGUAAUGAUUAAGAGGGACAGUCGGGGGCAUUCGUAUUUCAUUGUCAGAGGUGAAAUUCUUGGAUUUAUGAAAGACGGACUACUGCGAAAGCAUUUGCCAAGGAUGUUUUCAUUAA